RNAcentral lists this microRNA precursor (100 nucleotides) under Marmota monax (woodchuck). Lineage: Eukaryota; Metazoa; Chordata; Mammalia; Rodentia; Sciuridae. The record is from RNAcentral.
AAUGCAACUUCUGGGGGUCAAAAAGUAUGCUUGACUUUAUAAACAAUUUCCAAAGUGUUUUCAAAAGUGGCUGUAUCAUUUGACAGUCCCACCAGCAUGU